UCGGCACGGUAUGAACGUGAGACUGGCGGUCGUCAUUGCCGUAGCAGAAAACCGCAAGCGCGUGUACAUUCAAGAUCACCAUCGAUUGUGCGUCAGACGAGGGUUCCAAAUAAUCACCCAUACACUGACUACAUUUCUAGUGAUAAACUGUUGAAGAAUUAACAUUCGGAUAUUCAAAGCGCACAGAGCCGACAGGAAAUACUGCCCGGGCAUCUAGGCACUAAAUCAGUUGGUAGGGCACUCGCUACACGUAAAUGUGCAUACGGCUCUGAACUCGACUCAGAAAACAUUCGAGUUGUAAUACAGAUGUGCUCCGCAAGUCGGGAAGCUCUGAAUAAAAGAAGUACGUGGUAGGUCACCUUGCAACCAAGCUCUUUAUUUCCCGCGUUAAUAACUUGUGCCGCACUUCAGCAUUGAUACGAGACUUUCAGUCAGCAGUCCUGUUCAAGGCAGUGGGCGUUUUGCACAUGUUUUGUUGAGAAUGGACUCCUUAAUAGACUGUGCAGACACAUGCAGAUGCCGUCAUCCUCUGCUUUGUAGCUGCAUUGAAUCAUGUGGGCUUUUCAUCUGAAGUGCAAACGAGGAUACGGUCAGUGCCAGCCUGGAACUGGAGUGCCAAAUGCCAUGUCAGAGCACUCCAGAAUAUUUGGAGCACUUGCAGGGAACUCCUCUCCAGGGUACGAAGCAUCCGCCUCUGCCGUAGUUGGAGACAACAGAAACGGAAGCGGAACCUGUUGGGGAGAAUCUGGCAAACGAUGGCGAGGCGACAAAGAUGUCGCGGCAAUAGCGCAUAUCGCGGAAACGGCGCAAUGCACUGCAGUCGGUCGAUCCUGGUCACCUCUCCUAGGCGAAUCUAGCGGAUUGGCGGUUCCUGCACCACGUAGCUUUUUUAGACCAGAAGGACGCGUGAGGCAAGUCAAACUGGUUUCUCCUCUCCGGGACGAGAGAAAUGCGGAUGCUUCGGCCCCUUCGGACGCGCCUCUUGGAGAAGACACAGCGGAACCUCUUGGAGAAGACACAGCGGAACCUCUUGGAGGAGAAUGUGUGACGCUUGUACAGGGGCCGGCUGAACAUUGGUCGCUGUGCUUCGACUGUGACGAUCCUAAAAAGUAGGAGUCGGUAAACUGUGCACUUUCGGUGCCUUUUUUAAGCUUCGAAUACUCGAGUUUACGCCUUUGUCUUUCUUUUGGUGAUGUCUUGCGGCAAACUUGCUCCACAAUCGGUGGAGUGCCGGCAAACGACGCCUCUGCGCAAGAGGCAGGUGCUGUUGCUGGAGGCGUGGCCAUCCGUUCACGUGCGUUCUUCUCUAUAAAUGAGGAUGCAAGAACAGAUUUCUGCGCCGCUGGGAAUCUGUUAGAGACUCUAGAGACUUUAUCGGAUGCGGAGUCCGGGAACGUCAGGCUCUUUCCGUAGCAGCCUGUGAAAUCGAUGGGGGAACGGGGCGAAUUUAAGGUAGAUGAGAUAGGGCGCGUUCCGAUAUUUGUUGCCGGUAAUGUUAAGGGCGUCAUGCUACAUCUUGACUGAGCAUUCGAAGAAAGUGGAGAUCCGUCUGGGGAUAAGCGCUGGUUCACGUCCAUGUUGUGACCGUGGAUGACUGGAGAAGCCGGCAGGGGAGGCUGUUCAAGACUCGGUGGGACCUCUCCAGAGGAAAGCGACUCAUAAGAAUCAGGUGUUUCUAACUCCGGAGAGCUUACCACACCUGGAGAGAUGCUGCACGAAGAGGGUGACGAAGACUGGACUGUCACUUGUCGCUGAGAUACUGCAAAGAGCAAACAACUCGCUAAAUUCACGAGUGGACACCAAAGCACAAGAGUUUUAACCAUAAUUAUAGACCCUGGGCAAGCUUUCACAUGAUUUGCUUGCAUCGGCGUUCUCAAU
Molecule: long non-coding RNA, 1878 nt
Filed under: Toxoplasma gondii VEG
Lineage: Eukaryota; Apicomplexa; Conoidasida; Eucoccidiorida; Sarcocystidae
Source: RNAcentral